This 495-nucleotide ribosomal RNA is filed under the name uncultured bacterium. Its description in RNAcentral is "partial 16S ribosomal RNA". It matches the Rfam family "Bacterial small subunit ribosomal RNA", at positions 28 to 523 of the family's 1533-position model. The record is from RNAcentral.
GACGAACGCUGGCGGCGUGCUUAACACAUGCAAGUCGAGCGGUAAGGCCCCUCCGGGGGCACACGAGCGGCGAACGGGUGAGUAACACGUGAGCAACCUGCCCCUGACUCCGGGAUAAGCGGUGGAAACGCCGUCUAAUACCGGAUACGACCCUCCGGCUCAUGCCGUGGGGGUGGAAAGUUUUUUCGGUUGGGGAUGGGCUCGCGGCCUGUCAGCUUGUUGGUGGGGUAAAGGCCUACCAAGGCGAUUACGGGUAGCCGGCCUGAGAGGGCGACCGGCCACACGGGGACUGAGACACGGCCCAGACUCCUGCGGGGGGCAGCAGUGGGGAAUCUUGCGCAAUGGGCGAAAGCCUGACGCAGCGACGCCGCGUGGGGGAUGACGGCCUUCGGGUUGUAAACUCCUUUUACCACUCACGCAGGCCCGGAGUGUUCUUCGGGUUGACGGUAGGUGGGGAAUAAGGACCGGCUAACUACGUGCCAGCCGCCGCCGUAA